RNAcentral lists this ribosomal RNA (492 nucleotides) under uncultured bacterium. RNAcentral's name for it is "partial 16S ribosomal RNA". It matches the Rfam family "Bacterial small subunit ribosomal RNA", at positions 29 to 507 of the family's 1533-position model. The record is from RNAcentral.
AGUGAACGCUGGCGGUAGGCCUAACACAUGCAAGUCGAACGGCAGCACAGUAAGAGCUUGCUCUUACGGGUGGCGAGUGGCGGACGGGUGAGGAAUACAUCGGAAUCUACUUUUUCGUGGGGGAUAACGUAGGAAAACUUACGCUAAUACCGCAUACGACCUACGGGUGAAAGCAGGGGAUCUUCGGACCUUGCGCGAUUGAAUGAGCCGAUGUCGGAUUAGCUAGUUGGCGGGGUAAAGGCCCACCAAGGCGACGAUCCGUAGCUGGUCUGAGAGGAUGAUCAGCCACACUGGAACUGAGACACGGUCCAGACUCCUACGGGAGGCAGCAGUGGGGAAUAUUGGACAAUGGGCGCAAGCCUGAUCCAGCCAUACCGCGUGGGUGAAGAAGGCCUUCGGGUUGUAAAGCCCUUUUGUUGGGAAAGAAAAGCGGCAGGUUAAUACCCCGCUGUUCUGACGGUACCCAAAGAAUAAGCACCGGCUAACUUCGUG